GAUCAUUGAUUUUUCAUUCUGUUAUUUCAUUUUUUGCAGCUGUUUUGCCAAUCUCAACCCCCGCUCCAGCAAUUGAACAUUUCACUGUGAACUUCACCAUAACCAAUUUCAAAUAUGAUUCACAACUGGGAUCUCCUCAUUCUGCCCGGUUCAAUGCUACUGAGAAAGCCUUGAUCUCGUUGCUCAACCCAAUAUUUGGAAACAGCAGAAUCGGCCCAGAUUAUAUAAGAUGUG
RNAcentral lists this long non-coding RNA (234 nucleotides) under Chrysemys picta bellii (western painted turtle). RNAcentral describes it as "lncRNA (ENSCPBG00000011189.1)". Lineage: Eukaryota; Metazoa; Chordata; Testudines; Emydidae. The record is from RNAcentral.